CAGCAGCCACGGGAAUACGUAGGUGGCAAGCGUUGUCCGGAAUUAUUGGGCGUAAAGCGCGCGCAGGUGGUUUAAUAAGUCUGAUGUGAAAGCCCACGGCUCAACCGUGGAGGGUCAUUGGAAACUGUUAAACUUGAGUGCAGGAGAGAAAAGUGGAAUUCCUAGUGUAGCGGUGAAAUGCGUAGAGAUUAGGAGGAGCACCAGUGGCGAAGGCGGCUUUUGGCCUGUAACUGACACUGAGGCGCGAAAGCGUGGGGAGCAAACAGGAUUAGAUACCCCAGUAGUCCCUGUCUCUUAUACC
This 301-nucleotide ribosomal RNA is filed under the name uncultured bacterium. RNAcentral's name for it is "partial 16S ribosomal RNA". It matches the Rfam family "Bacterial small subunit ribosomal RNA", at positions 509 to 808 of the family's 1533-position model. The record is from RNAcentral.